This 476-nucleotide ribosomal RNA is filed under the name Neritona juttingae. Its description in RNAcentral is "partial 16S ribosomal RNA". It matches the Rfam family "Bacterial large subunit ribosomal RNA", at positions 1915 to 2601 of the family's 2925-position model. Lineage: Eukaryota; Metazoa; Mollusca; Gastropoda; Cycloneritida; Neritidae. The record is from RNAcentral.
GAUUACUUUUUAACGGCCGCGGUACCCUGACCGUGCAAAGGUAGCAUAAUCAUUUGCCUUUUAAUUGAAGGCUGGUAUGAACGGUUUGACGCGAGUAAAGCUGUCUCACAUGCACUUAAUAAAAGUUAAUUUAAAGGUGCAAAGGCCUUUAUAAAACAAAAAGACGAGAAGACCCUGUUGAGCUUUAAUUUCAAUGAGCACUACUUGUAUAUUAAUAUAACUGAUCUGCUCAAUAAAAAUUUUAAUUGGGGCGAUUAAGGAACACCCAGAAGCUUCCUGACUAUACACAAAAUUUUGGUAAAUUAAAUCGAUCCAGCAAUGCUGAUCAACAAAAUGAGUUACCACAGGGAUAACAGCAUAAUUCUUUUUGAGAGCUCAUAUCGAAAAAAGAGAUUGUGACCUCGAUGUUGGACUAGGGUAACUAGAAGGUGCAGCCGCUUUCUUGCUUGGUCUGUUCGACCAGUAAUUCCCUACGU